Oncorhynchus tshawytscha (Chinook salmon) is the source of this 1389-nucleotide long non-coding RNA. The record is from Ensembl. NCBI's taxonomy places the organism in Eukaryota, Metazoa, Chordata, Actinopteri, Salmoniformes, Salmonidae.
UAAAUAGAUAAUUACUCUCUCUGUGUUCUAAUCUAAAUAGAUAAUUACUGACUCUCUCUCUCUCUGUGUUCUAAUCUAAAUAGAUAAUUACUGACUCUCUCUGUGUUCUAAUCUCAAUAGAUAAUUACUGACUCUCUCUCUCUGUGUUCUAAUCUAAAUAGAUAAUUACUGACUCUCUCUGUGUUCUAAUCUAAAUAGAUAAUUACUCUCUCUCUCUGUGUUCUAAUUUAAAUAGAUAAUUACUGACUCUCUCUCUGUGUUCUAAUCUCAAUAGAUAAUUACUGACUCUCUCUCUGUGUUCUAAUCUAAAUAGAUAAUUACUGACUCUCUCUCUGUGUUCUAAUCUCAAUAGAUAAUUACUGACUCUCUCUGUGUUCUAAUCUAAAUAGAUAAUUACUGACUCUCUGUGUUCUAAUCUCAAUAGAUAAUUACUGACUCUCUGUGUUCUAAUCUAAAUAGAUAAUUACUGACUCUCUGUGUUCUAAUCUAAAUAGAUAAUUACUGACUCUCUCUCUCUCUCUGUGUUCUAAUCUAAAUAGAUAAUUACUGACUCUCUGUGUUCUAAUCUAAAUAGAUAAUUACUGACUCUCUCUCUCUCUCUGUGUUCUAAUCUAAAUAGAUAAUUACUGACUCUCUCUGUGUUCUAAUCUAAAUAGAUAAUUACUGACUCUCUCUCUGUGUUCUAAUCUAAAUAGAUAAUUACUGACUCUCUCUGUGUUCUAAUCUAAAUAGAUAAUUACUGACUCUCUCUCUGUGUUCUAAUCUAAAUAGAUAAUUACUGACUCUCUCUGUGUUCUAAUCUAAAUAGAUAAUUACUGACUCUCUCUCUGUGUUCUAAUCUAAAUAGAUAAUUACUGACUCUCUCUCUCUGUGUUCUAAUCUAAAUAGAUAAUUACUGACUCUCUGUGUUCUAAUCUAAAUAGAUAAUUACUGACUCUCUGUGUUCUAAUCUAAAUAGAUAAUUACUGACUCUCUCUCUCUCUGUGUUCUAAUUUAAAUAGAUCAUUAUUGACUUGUGCAGCAAUGUAAACAUGCUAUAAAAUACCUUUAGUCUUUACAUUAGAGGGUAUGAAUGCAGGGCUUGUAUGACCUCCAUGUGAUUUGCACUAAUUUCAUUUAACAGUAGCAAUGUGAUGCAUUAUAUGGUUUCUGUGACAGGGUACAGUAUAAAAGGCUUUUGUAACAUUUGCUAUACACUGUAUUGUUUGCAUAAAGGUUUUGCUUGUUUUCCUGUCCCAUGCUUUCAGGGGAAUCUUUGCACACAAACAAGUGAUUGUAGUUAGGCAGGCCUAAAGUACUGUAGCAAUGUUAACAUGAAACAUACAACUGUUUUAAAACCUGUCCACAGCUUGUCCAUAUGAACGAAUAUAAAGACAUAUAAAGCAAUUG